UACGUAGGGUGCGAGCGUUAAUCGGAUUUACUGGGCGUAAAGCGUGCGCAGGCGGCCCGUUAAGACAGGUGUGAAAUCCCUGGGCUCAACCUAGGAAUUGCGCUUGUGACUGGCGGGCUCGAGUACGGUAGAGGGGGGUGGAAUUCCUGGUGUAGCAGUGAAAUGCGUAGAGAUUUGGAGGAACACCGAUGGCGAAGGCAGCCCCCUGGGCCUGUACUGACGCUCAUGCACGAAAGCGUGGGGAGCAAACAGG
Molecule: ribosomal RNA, 253 nt
Filed under: uncultured microorganism
Description: partial 16S ribosomal RNA
Rfam family: Bacterial small subunit ribosomal RNA
Source: RNAcentral